AUGUCUUCAUGGUGCUUGCGGAGGGGCAGGGCCCCUGAGGAAAAGUGGUGGUUGGGGAGGAGGACGCCCUUGUCCUUGGUGUCCGGGCCGCCAUGGCUGACGCCGGAGCCGUUGGUUGGCCUUGAGGUCAUCCGUCGUUGGCGUCCUCAUCAUCCAUCCAACCACCAGGUCCUCGAUCCAUCUGCGGCCGCUGCACCUCCACAGGAGGAGAUCCCUGAGGCAUUUGAUUCUUGUGGGAUCCCCACACAUCUUGCAAGAUCAACAAGUGGCUGGGCCUCUACAUUAUUCAGAAAAGCUAUUUUUAUCUUUCAUUUAUUUGUCUAA
RNAcentral lists this ribosomal RNA (324 nucleotides) under Triticum aestivum (bread wheat). RNAcentral describes it as "partial small subunit ribosomal RNA". Lineage: Eukaryota; Viridiplantae; Streptophyta; Magnoliopsida; Poales; Poaceae. The record is from RNAcentral.